GAACUAAAGUGGUGAAGUGCUUCCCAACAGGCUAGGGUUUCGAUUUGCGCCGGAGAAGACGCUCGCACCUUCUUUGCAAAACCGUCAACGAUCUUCCCAGAGGCAUCUCGGCAUACACAGGCGACAUUACCUUCAUUAUCUCCUUCCAGAAAGGACCCAUCAACGUUAAUUUUGAGGGUACCUUCCGGCGGUGGCUUCCAUAUGGCAGUUUCCACGACCCACCUCGGCUAUGGGUUCUGUUGACGAAAGACGUGAUUGUUUCUUGACUUCCAGAUGUUCCAUACGAUCUCGGCUAGUAGCUCAGGGUGCGUCCAAACCUGUUUGGUCCAUUCACAGAGAAGAAAGAUAUGUUCUACAGUCUCUGGGUGCUUGCGACAAAGAGGGCAUAAGGGCUCAUUAACUGUUUCUGUCAGGAUUUUGUUCAUAUCGCUCGUAACUAUGCGUGGGCAUUGGUCUAAGAUCGGCUGGAAAUUUCUUUGUCCCACUGAGGUAUAAAGGGACUGGAAGAACUCCAAAGUCUUCUGUUUAAGAAGCCUAGUGUCAUGAAUCCACUGAUCUUCAGUAAUCUUUAACAUUGAAAUAUUAUUCCUUUGUCUUCUUUGUAUGGUUGUUGCAUGAAAGUACCGAGUGUUCUUAUCUCCCCAUUUUAUCCAGUUAAGCCGAGAUCUCAUUCCCCAAUACAUUUCUUCCUGUCUCCAGAGUUUGUCAAUUUGUAAUUUCACCUCGUGGACUCUCUUCCUGUCAUACUGAAUAUCGGUUAUAUUUGUUAUAAUCUGAAGUUCCUGUUUUAAGGCGUUGAUUUGUCUGUGAGCAUUCGAAAAUUUUUUCCUACUCCAUUUAGCAAGUGCUCCUGAUACCAUAUUCAGCUUUCUCAAUAAAUCUUCUUUUUCUGCUACUGGAGAAUUCCACACUUCUUUUACCAGCUUGCUGCACUCUUCCUCUUCAAGCCAAUAGGCUUCAAAUUUGAAUUCUGUUUUCCU
RNA transcript from Syzygium oleosum, 980 nucleotides. RefSeq lists it as uncharacterized. The transcript has 4 exons. Lineage: Eukaryota; Viridiplantae; Streptophyta; Magnoliopsida; Myrtales; Myrtaceae. The record is from RefSeq and is a predicted model, not a curated record.